AAUUAGCUGAUUGGAGAAUGUGGAAUGCAGAGUGAUAAUGCUGCAUAUCUGCUAUCAGGCAGCAGCAAAGGUUUUUGUCUUGGGAAGGCAAGCUUUCCCUGCAAUAUUAUCUCAGCAGCUCCCUAGCUGCUUACCCUGAAAACGAGGGCUCCAAACGGAGGGUGUUGCCCUCUGCUAACGCUGGUCCUGUGCGUGGCUGUGGCAUAUGAGCGGCAGGUCUGAAAAAGCAGGUGUGUGCUGGGACGGGCACUGGACUGGAACGCAGGCGGACGCUCUCGGGUUUACCUGCUUCCUGUUAACAGACUGUGGGCUCCCAGGGCGUAUGUCUGCACGCUGAGGCCGAGGCGGAGAAGGGGCUUCCUGAGCGUCCAGUACACUGACAGAGACACUUGGAUUGGACUUAAUCUUAAACCUCUGGAGUUCAAGACCUUUUAAAAGGGCUAAAUAAACAAUCUCUACAUGUAAAAGGCCACUGACUCCUACUUCCUCUGUAUAGAGCAACUGUUGAACUCAGCUGCCUGUAGGGCGUGAUUCUCAGUCACCAGACUCAGCUUGGAGAUCUUACAAUGAUGGCAAUCAGGAGACACUGAACGGAGAUGCUACAUAUUCCUCUCUUGCAGCAAAAGGUUUUAGAAACGUUCGACCAAACCUACAAGAUAAAAGAUCACCAACUCAGAGCCAGAUAACAGUGAAUGGAAACUCAGGAGGUGCCG
Molecule: small RNA, 713 nt
Filed under: Pan troglodytes (chimpanzee)
Lineage: Eukaryota; Metazoa; Chordata; Mammalia; Primates; Hominidae
Description: processed transcript
Source: RNAcentral